This 253-nucleotide ribosomal RNA is filed under the name uncultured bacterium. Its description in RNAcentral is "partial 16S ribosomal RNA". It matches the Rfam family "Bacterial small subunit ribosomal RNA", at positions 524 to 776 of the family's 1533-position model. The record is from RNAcentral.
UACGUAGGGACCAAGCGUUGUCCGGAAUCAUUGGGCGUAAAGAGCGUGUAGGCGGCUUGUUAAGUCUUGCGUGAAAUCUCGGGGCUCAACCCCGAGCGGUCGUGAGAAACUGGCAGGCUAGAGUGCGGGAGAGGAGAGUGGAAUUCCUGGUGUAGCGGUGAAAUGCGCAGAUAUCAGGAGGAACACCAAUGGCGAAGGCAGCACUCUGGGACGUGACUGACGCUGAGACGCGAAAGCGUGGGGAGCAAACAGG